GACGAACGCUGGCGGCGUGCUUAACACAUGCAAGUCGAACGGUAAGGCCCCAGCUUGCUGGGGUACACGAGUGGCGAACGGGUGAGUAACACGUGGGUGACCUGCCCCGCACUUCGGGAUAAGCCUGGGAAACUGGGUCUAAUACCGGAUAGGACCGCACCGUGAGGGUGUGGUGGAAAGUUUUUCGGUGUGGGAUGGGCCCGCGGCCUAUCAGCUUGUUGGUGGGGUAAUGGCCUACCAAAGCGGCGACGGGUAGCCGGCCUGAGAGGGUGGACGGCCACAUUGGGACUGAGACACGGCCCAGACUCCUACGGGAGGCAGCAGUGGGGAAUAUUGCACAAUGGGCGGAAGCCUGAUGCAGCGACGCCGCGUGGGGGAUGACGGCCUUCGGGUUGUAAACUCCUUUCACCAUCGACGAAGGUUUUCUGACGGUAGAUGGAGAAGAAGCACCGGCUAACUACGUG
RNAcentral lists this ribosomal RNA (464 nucleotides) under uncultured bacterium. Its description in RNAcentral is "partial 16S ribosomal RNA". It matches the Rfam family "Bacterial small subunit ribosomal RNA", at positions 28 to 507 of the family's 1533-position model. The record is from RNAcentral.